Molecule: ribosomal RNA, 23 nt
Filed under: Quercus canariensis
Lineage: Eukaryota; Viridiplantae; Streptophyta; Magnoliopsida; Fagales; Fagaceae
Description: partial 25S ribosomal RNA
Source: RNAcentral
GCGACCACAGGUCAGGCGGGACU